Molecule: ribosomal RNA, 467 nt
Filed under: uncultured microorganism
Description: bacterial SSU rRNA
Rfam family: Bacterial small subunit ribosomal RNA
Source: RNAcentral
GAGUUUGACGUGGCUCAGAGCGAACGCUGGCGGCAGGCCUAACACAUGCAAGUCGAACGAACUCUUCGGAGUUAGUGGCGGACGGGUGAGUAACACGUGGGAACGUGCCUUUUGGUUCGGAAUAACUCAGGGAAACUUGUGCUAAUACCGAAUGUGCCCUUCGGGGGAAGGAUUUAUCGCCAUUAGAGCGGCCCGCGUCUGAUUAGCUAGUUGGUGAGGUAAAGGCUCACCAAGGCGACGAUCAGUAGCUGGUCUGAGAGGAUGAUCAGCCACAUUGGGACUGAGACACGGCCCAAACUCCUACGGGAGGCAGCAGUGGGGAAUCUUGCGCAAUGGGCGAAAGCCUGACGCAGCCAUGCCGCGUGAAUGAUGAAGGUCUUAGGAUUGUAAAAUUCUUUCACCGGGGACGAUAAUGACGGUACCCGGAGAAGAAGCCCGGCUAACUUCGUGCCAGCCGCCGCCGUAAC